CGCCUCCUGCCUUUCAUGGCACAACCGCUGUAGAUAGGACACAAUUCACCACACUGAAGGGCCUACUUGUACAAAAUAAACUUGGUAUCGAUGGCACAGCUCCUAACUUACGGGUUCAAGCCCAUCGCUAGAAAAAUGCUCCCAAAGUAAAUAAGUACAUAUAAAUGUACAUAAAGCCUUUCUUAGAGAAGGUUACUCGCUCCACCAGAUCAGGAGUAAUAAUAGGCAGGUCGUGGCAAUCACAGUCCCCCUUCACAGCAGGAAUGCCGGAAAGGCGGAUAGAAGAAUGGUAUUAGCCAACAACCUAAGUGCGAAAAUAUGAAGAAGGGAACUUCUCUUCGAAGUCCUUGGCUAUGUUGAGAUGUUUGGGGAUGAUGAUGCUCACCGUAGAAGGGCCAGUAUCAACGUUAAUUUCUUUGUCUUUGUUCUCCUUUGGAUCCCACCGAAGAGAAGACUAGAGUUCUGGUAAGAGUUGGUGAAAGAAACCAUGAUCAACAGAAGAUGAUAAGAGUCAUUUGAAGAAGAUUAAUGGAGGAUUAAAGUAGAAAAGUGUUGGAUGCAAAGAAGUUGAGAGAGUU
Molecule: long non-coding RNA, 578 nt
Filed under: Nicotiana benthamiana
Lineage: Eukaryota; Viridiplantae; Streptophyta; Magnoliopsida; Solanales; Solanaceae
Description: long non-coding RNA (NBEN_LNC026653)
Source: RNAcentral